GCCUCCAGCUGCCUCCUGCUGGGAUCUAUGUCCAAACCACCCAGAUUCCAGAAGCUAAGCAGUGGUCAGUACUUGGAUGAGAGACCACCUGGGAAUACUGAGUGCUGUAAGCU
RNAcentral lists this ribosomal RNA (113 nucleotides) under Theropithecus gelada (gelada). Lineage: Eukaryota; Metazoa; Chordata; Mammalia; Primates; Cercopithecidae. The record is from RNAcentral.